RNAcentral lists this ribosomal RNA (492 nucleotides) under uncultured bacterium. RNAcentral describes it as "partial 16S ribosomal RNA". It matches the Rfam family "Bacterial small subunit ribosomal RNA", at positions 29 to 507 of the family's 1533-position model. The record is from RNAcentral.
AGUGAACGCUGGCGGUAGGCCUAACACAUGCAAGUCGAACGGCAGCACAGUAAGAGCUUGCUCUUACGGGUGGCGAGUGGCGGACGGGUGAGGAAUACAUCGGAAUCUACUUUUUCGUGGGGGAUAACGUAGGGAAACUUACGCUAAUACCGCAUACGACCUACGGGCGAAAGCAGGGGAUCUUCGGGCCUUGCGCGAUUGAAUGAGCCGAUGUCGGAUUAGCUAGUUGGCGGGGUAAAGGCCCACCAAGGCGACGAUCCGUAGCUGGUCUGAGAGGAUGAUCAGCCACACUGGAACUGAGACACGGUCCAGACUCCUACGGGAGGCAGCAGUGGGGAAUAUUGGACAAUGGGCGCAAGCCUGAUCCAGCCAUACCGCGUGGGUGAAGAAGGCCUUCGGGUUGUAAAGCCCUUUUGUUGGGAAAGAAAAGCAGCAGGUUAAUACCCCGCUGUUCUGACGGUACCCAAAGAAUAAGCACCGGCUAACUUCGUG